UACGUAGGUGGCAAGCGUUGUCCGGAUUUAUUGGGUUUAAAGGGUGCGUAGGCGGCCUAUUAAGUCAGUGCUGAAAUAUCCCGGCUUAACCGGGAGGGUGGCAUUGAUACUGAUGGGCUUGAGUAAAGUUGAGGUAGGCGGAAUUGACGGUGUAGCGGUGAAAUGCUUAGAUAUCGUCAAGAACACCUAUUGCGAAGGCAGCUUACUAAGCUUUAACUGACGCUGAUGCACGAAAGUGUGGGGAUCAAACAGG
This 253-nucleotide ribosomal RNA is filed under the name uncultured bacterium. RNAcentral describes it as "partial 16S ribosomal RNA". It matches the Rfam family "Bacterial small subunit ribosomal RNA", at positions 524 to 776 of the family's 1533-position model. The record is from RNAcentral.